UACGGAAGGCAGCAGUGGGGAAUAUUGCACAAUGGGCGCAAGCCUGAUGCAGCCAUGCCGCGUGUAUGAAGAAGGCCUUCGGGUUGUAAAGUACUUUCAGUCGUGAGGAAGGUGUUAAGGUUAAUAACCUUAGCAAUUGACGUUAGCGACAGAAGAAGCACCGGCUAACUCCGUGCCAGCAGCCGCGGUAAUACGGAGGGUGCGAGCGUUAAUCGGAAUUACUGGGCGUAAAGGGCACGCAGGCGGUUAAUUAAGUUGGAUGUGAAAUCCCCGGGCUUAACCUGGGAAUGGCAUUCAAGACUGGUUAGCUAGAGUCUUGUAGAGGGGGUAGAAUUCCAUGUGUAGCGGUGAAAUGCGUAGAGAUGUGGAGGAAUACCGGUGGCGAAGGCGGCCCCUGGACAAAGCUGACGCUCAUGCGCGAAAGCGUGGGGAGCGAAACAGGGAUUAGAUACC
Molecule: ribosomal RNA, 453 nt
Filed under: uncultured bacterium
Lineage: Bacteria
Description: bacterial SSU rRNA
Rfam family: Bacterial small subunit ribosomal RNA
Source: RNAcentral